CCUGUCAGAAGGGAACCUGGGCAGGACGACCUGAAGCUCCAGGGACUACUCCCAUGGUGGUGCCUGCACAAACGACCUUCCUUAAAAUCCGCUGCUUGCAAGAUGAAGUCCAAGAGUGUUAGGAAGGAGGCCGGGUGUGUGCCGUGUCCACGAUGCCAGGCCCCAGGGUCCACUAGGAGUUCUGUCUGUUCUGUGCAGCAGCCCCCCACCUGCUGGGGCUUGCCUCGAGGGACCAGAACAACCCACCCAUGAAGAGUCCCUGAGCCCAAGGGGCACCUGGGUGGCUCAGUCAGUUAAGCAUCCGACUUCAG
Molecule: long non-coding RNA, 311 nt
Organism: Lynx canadensis (Canada lynx)
Lineage: Eukaryota; Metazoa; Chordata; Mammalia; Carnivora; Felidae
Exons: 3
Source: RefSeq, a predicted model, not a curated record